AACAGGGAUUGCCUUAGUAACGGCGAGUGAAGCGGCAACAGCUCAAAUUUGAAAUCUGGCCUUCUGGCCCGAGUUGUAAUUUGCAGAGGAUGUUUCUGGCGAGGUGCCUUCCGAGUUCCCUGGAACGGGACGCCAUAGAGGGUGAGAGCCCCGUACGGUUGGUCGCUAAGCCUCUGUGAAACUCCUUCGACGAGUCGAGUAGUUUGGGGAAUGCUGCUCUAAAUGGGAGGUAUACGUCUUCUAAAGCUAAAUACCGGCUAGAGACCGAUAGCGCACAAGUAGAGUGAUCGAAAGAUGAAAAGCACUUUGAAAAGAGGGUUAAAUAGUACGUGAAAUUGUUGAAAGGGAAGCGCUCAUGACCAGACUUGGACCGGUUGAUCAUCCAUCGUUCUCGGUGGUGCACUCUGCCGGUUCAGGCCAGCAUCAGUUUGGCCCGGGGGAUAAAGGUUUCGGGAAUGUGGCUCCCCACGGGGAGUGUUAUAGCCCGUUGCGUAAUACCCUGGGCUGGACUGAGGUUCGCGCUCCGCAAGGAUGCUGGCGUAAUGGUCAUCAGUGACCCGUCUUGAAACACGGACCAAGGAGUCGUCUUCGUAUGCGAGUGUUCGGGUGUCAAACCCCUACGCGUAAUUGAAAGUGAACGUAGGAGAGAGCUUCGGCGCAUCUCCGACCGAUCCUGAUGUUCUCGGAUGGAUUUGAGUAAGAGCAUACGGGGCCGGACCCGAAAGAAGGUGAACUAUGCCUGUAUAGGGUGAAGCCAGAGGAAACUCUGGUGGAGGCUCGCAGCGGUUCUGACGUGCAAAUCGAUCGUCAAAUAUGGGCAUGGGGGCGAAAGACUAAUCGAACCUUCUAGUAGCUGGUUUCCGCCGAAGUUUCCCUCAGGAUAGCAGUGUUGAACUCAGUUUUAUGAGGUAAAGCGAAUGAUUAGGGACCCGGGGGCAGCUAUAUAGCCUUCAUCCAUUCUCAAACUUUAAAUAUGUAAGAAGCUCUUGUUGCUUAAUUG
This 1000-nucleotide ribosomal RNA is filed under the name Hydropisphaera erubescens. Its description in RNAcentral is "LSU rRNA". It matches the Rfam family "Eukaryotic large subunit ribosomal RNA", at positions 67 to 1097 of the family's 3401-position model. Lineage: Eukaryota; Fungi; Ascomycota; Sordariomycetes; Hypocreales; Bionectriaceae. The record is from RNAcentral.